GCCCAGACUCCUACGGGAGGCAGCAGUGGGGAAUAUUGCACAAUGGGGGAAACCCUGAUGCAGCGACGCCGCGUGAGUGAAGAAGCAUUUCGGUAUGUAAAGCUCUAUCAGCAGGGAAGAUAAUGACGGUACCUGACUAAGAAGCCCCGGCUAACUACGUGCCAGCAGCCGCGGUAAUACGUAGGGGGCAAGCGUUAUCCGGAUUUACUGGGUGUAAAGGGUGCGCAGGUGGCAGGGCAAGUCAGAUGUGAAAGCCCGGGGCUCAACCCCGGUAUUGCAUUUGAAACUGUCCGGCUAGAGUGCAGGAGAGGUAAGCGGAAUUCCUAGUGUAGCGGUGAAAUGCGUAGAUAUUAGGAGGAACACCAGUGGCGAAGGCGGCUUACUGGACUGUAACUGACACUGAGGCACGAAAGCGUGGGGAGCAAACAGGAUUAGAUACCCCCGUAU
Molecule: ribosomal RNA, 447 nt
Filed under: uncultured bacterium
Lineage: Bacteria
Description: bacterial SSU rRNA
Rfam family: Bacterial small subunit ribosomal RNA
Source: RNAcentral